GGGCGGGUAGCGCAGUGGUCAGCGUGUUCCUGAGCGUUUCAUCAGCGUUGUUUUCUUCACUUCCCAUCCAGCGUUUAGCGAAAGACCUGGGUUCGAAUCCCAGCCCGCCCA
Molecule: non-coding RNA, 111 nt
Organism: Echria macrotheca
Lineage: Eukaryota; Fungi; Ascomycota; Sordariomycetes; Sordariales; Schizotheciaceae
Source: the annotation of a GenBank genome assembly